CCUAUCCCUCUCUCACUCUCUCAACCGAGCUGCUCUCUCUCAAAAAAAGCCCUAAAAGCCCUAAAUCUCCCGCGGCUCCGUGCGACUUCCCCUCAAAAAAACCCUCCUUGCCGCUCCGCGCGACGACCCCUCGCCCUCAAAAAAAGCUUCUCCUGGUGCUCCGCGCGACCCCCCCGCCGCCCUGGUGCUCGCAAACCAGCCCUCCCCCGUGCGACCCCGGCGGCCCCUGCACCCUCGUCCGACACGAAAUUGCAUCUUUUCUUCCGGCGGCUCUGGAGGUGACGAAGGGGAAACCCCUGACACGACCUGGCCGACCGCGGUGGAGCUAGCGAGCGAGAGGGCGUCGAUUGUCGGCUUUGAUACCCUCGGACGCCUCUUCGGGACAUCACUGUCAUCGUCAACGUGUUAUCAUACCUCAAUGUAGAUCAUUUGAUGAUAUUGAGUUGCAGACUUUUCAAGAUAGAUCAUAUUCUGAUCAACCUCAACAAUCGAGGUAGCCAUAAUAGUCCGAAGUUGGUCCAUCAUCCGUGUAACAGCACGAGGCCGAUCCUUCUUUAUCCACGCAGCAAUCUGAGCCACAGCACCAUCCUCCUACUAAUGAGGAUGUUAUUAUGGAUGAGAUACACAUCCAAGAUAAUUUAAUAAAAAUAUUAUAUAUUCAUGACUAUUAAUGUAUAAGAAUUAAUUUUUAUUGUUGGAUUUGUAAUAUAUUUUUUCAUUUGAUAUGUUUGUUGUAGAUGCAUUUGGAAGAGCAUGGAUUAGAUAUGGAUUCAUACGGGCUCGAGAUAUCUAGUGUUUAACUGAGGAGCAUGUCAAUGAAUUCUCGGUAUCUAUGAAGGCCAGUCGUGUUGAGGCCCAGGUGAUGACAGGGCUAUUGGGACCCGACCUUUAUGGUCGAGUGGGAGGUUAUUGAGUUGGAGUCAAUCCCACUCAAUUAUCUGAUGUGUGCCGAUACACUUAGGAUGCUAGAGAGAGUUCUAGUAAUGUAGAUAUUCGUAUGCUCGAGAUUCAGAUGGAGGUGCGGAUGGAGGCAUGGAUUGAGAAGCAGUUAGAGGUGCAGAUGGAGACACAGAUUGAGGAGCAUUUGGAGGUGCAGGUGGAGGUACAGAUGGAGGCACGGAUGGAGAUAAUGAUGAGAUAGAGCUAUGACACAAUGAUAUCCUCUAUAAGAACUCAGAUUGAUCAGUUGACAUCCGCAUUAUAAAUGUUUGUGAACUCUUUUAUGAUACAUAUAUUAUUAUA
Molecule: non-coding RNA, 1242 nt
Organism: Elaeis guineensis (African oil palm)
Lineage: Eukaryota; Viridiplantae; Streptophyta; Magnoliopsida; Arecales; Arecaceae
Source: RefSeq, a predicted model, not a curated record